This 489-nucleotide ribosomal RNA is filed under the name Lactobacillus acidophilus. RNAcentral's name for it is "bacterial SSU rRNA". It matches the Rfam family "Bacterial small subunit ribosomal RNA", at positions 57 to 524 of the family's 1533-position model. The record is from RNAcentral. Lineage: Bacteria; Bacillati; Bacillota; Bacilli; Lactobacillales; Lactobacillaceae.
GCGGCUGAACNAACAGAUUCCUUCGGUGAUGACGUUGGGAACGCGAGCGGCGGAUGGGUGAGUAACACGUGGGGAACCUGCCCCAUAGUCUGGGAUACCACUUGGAAACAGGUGCUAAUACCGGAUAAGAAAGCAGAUCGCAUGAUCAGCUUAUAAAAGGCGGCGUAAGCUGUCGCUAUGGGAUGGCCCCGCGGUGCAUUAGCUAGUUGGUAGGGUAACGGCCUACCAAGGCAAUGAUGCAUAGCCGAGUUGAGAGACUGAUCGGCCACAUUGGGACUGAGACACGGCCCAAACUCCUACGGGAGGCAGCAGUAGGGAAUCUUCCACAAUGGACGAAAGUCUGAUGGAGCAACGCCGCGUGAGUGAAGAAGGUUUUCGGAUCGUAAAGCUCUGUUGUUGGUGAAGAAGGAUAGAGGUAGUAACUGGCCUUUAUUUGACGGUAAUCAACCAGAAAGUCACGGCUAACUACGUGCCAGCAGCCGCGGUUAU